This 53-nucleotide transfer RNA is filed under the name Grimmia funalis. RNAcentral describes it as "partial transfer RNA-Leu". Lineage: Eukaryota; Viridiplantae; Streptophyta; Bryopsida; Grimmiales; Grimmiaceae. The record is from RNAcentral.
UUGAAAAUCCGUUGGCUUUAUUGACCAUGAGGGUUCAAGUCCCUCUACCCCCA